Molecule: ribosomal RNA, 253 nt
Filed under: uncultured bacterium
Lineage: Bacteria
Description: partial 16S ribosomal RNA
Rfam family: Bacterial small subunit ribosomal RNA
Source: RNAcentral
AACGGAGGAUGCAAGCGUUAUCCGGAAUUAUUGGGCGUAAAGCGUCCGUAGGUGGCAGGCCAAGUCUACUUUUAAAGCGUGCAGCUCAACUGCAUAAGGGGAGUGGAAACUGGUCAGCUAGAGUUCGGUAGGGGCAGAGGGAAUUCCCGGUGUAGCGGUGAAAUGCGUAGAUAUCGGGAAGAACACCAGUGGCGAAAGCGCUCUGCUGGGCCUGAACUGACACUGAUGGACGAAAGCUAGGGGAGCGAAAGGG